Salvelinus fontinalis (brook trout) is the source of this 5290-nucleotide long non-coding RNA. RefSeq lists it as uncharacterized. The record is from RefSeq and is a predicted model, not a curated record. NCBI's taxonomy places the organism in Eukaryota, Metazoa, Chordata, Actinopteri, Salmoniformes, Salmonidae. The transcript is spliced from 2 exons.
UCUCUCUCUCUCUCUCUCUCUCUCUCUCUCUCUCUCUCUCUCUCUCUCUCUCUCUCUCUCUCUCUCGCUCUCUCGCUCUCUCGCUCUCUCGCUCUCUCUCUCGCUCUCUCUCGCUCUCUCUCGGAGGACCUGACCCCUAGGACCAUGCCUCAGGACUACCUGACCUGUUACUCCUUGCUGUCCCCAGGCCACCUGGUUGUGCUGCAGCUCCAGUUUCAACUGUUCUGCCUGUGGCUAUGGAACCCUGACCUGUUCACCGGACGUGCUACCUUGUCCCAGACCUGCUGUUUUCAACUCUCUAGAGACAGCAGGUGCGGUCGAGAUACCUUGAAUGAUCUGCUAUGAAAGCCAACUGACAUUCACUCCUGAGGUGCUGACCUGUUGCACCCUCUACAACCACUGUGAUUAUUAUUAUCUGACCCUGCUGGUCAUCUAUGGACAUUUGAAAAUCUUGGCCAUGUUCUGUUAUAAUCUCCACCCGGCACAGCCAGAAGAGGACUGGCCACCCUUCAUAGCCUGGUUCCUCUCUAGGUUUCUUCCUAGGUUCCGGCCUUUCUAGGGAGUUUUUCCUUGCCACCGUGCUUCUCCCCCUGCAUUGCUUGCUGUUUGGGGUUUUAGGCUGGGUUUCUGUACAGCACUUUGUGACAUCCGUUGAUGUAAGAAGUGCUUCAUAAAUACGGUCAGAUGCCAAGCAGUUGCCAUACCAAGCGGUGAUGCAGCAAGUCAAGUUGCUCUCAAUGGAGCAGUUGUAUAACUUUUUGCCAAAUCUUUUCAGCCUCCUGAGGGGGAAGAGGCAUUGUCAUACCUUCUUCUGUGUUGGUGUGCGUGGACCAUGUCAAUUCCUUAGUGAUGUGGACACCGAGGAACUUGAAGCUCUCGACCCGCUCCACCUCAGCACCGUCGAUGUGGAUGGGGGCAUGCUCAGCCCUCCGUUUCCUGUAGUCAACGUGCAUUUACUGGUAACAAAGUGCUCCUUCUCUUCCUCAGCCUCAGCAUCCUCAUCGUCACCGCCAGCGUAAACACAAAACUCUUCAUUCUAACAAACCAUGAAAUUCCAGAUAUAAGGUACAGUAUGUAAAUGUUCCCUGUCAGAGAAGCUCAGCUCCUGUCUGCGUUAUGUUUAGAACUCUGUCCCUCUCCCCCUGAGAGUACGCCACUGCACUGAGCCAUGGAAAUGUCAGCGGUCAAGUUUACAUGGGAAAAGUUGGAAAGCUAAACCGCCGGUCACCCUGGGCCACAGAAAAGACACGGGUGUGUUGCUCUUCCCCAUAGGGGGUAAGAUGUGGAGGUCUGGUCUUACACAGCUAACAUAUGUCAGAACACCUGAGCAGCAGCUAGCCCUCCUCACGACCCGCUCCCCUCCACUCCUCUGCCACUCCUGGGUUAAUGUGCCCCCCAGCCGUGUGGCAGGGCGAGCUGGCCCGCUUCCCUCUCGCCCGGCCAGCCCCCACGCUGGGCAACCACGGCCCACCGACAGCAUCCAUCGCCCUGACAUGACGGAUCACAUAUGGAAGCCUUCCACCACCACCGGCGCACCGGCAUGUAGGGGGCAGGGGGAGCAUGGAUGGGAGGAGAGAGGGAGGGCGAGUUGGUUUUAACACGGCAUAUAGAGAAUCAAGGUUCUCCGCAGCAUUAAACCACACAGCAGAGGAAGAAAAGCGGUCUUCUCCAAACAAAGUUUCCCACCAAUUAACAGUACCCCUCUGUUACACCAAAGGUCCGCAAAGGCCAGAAGAUUUUGACCCAAAGGGACAGAAAAGGAAGGAGAUACACCUUAAAAGAAUAGACAGACAGAGACACAAAGACAGAGAGAGAGACAGACGGUGAAUGGGGGUGAGUGAGGGGACAUUGAGAGAAGAAGAAGAGUGUUCAGACAGCACUUUAUCACUUGCUUUAAAACUCUCAAUCUUCCUCUCGUCUUUAGCAUUUGAAGCGCUAAGGUCCCCAGUGCCAGCAAAGGUCAGGGCUAUGAUUUAUUGGUCUCUUAUGGAGGUGCUGUCUGUAGGGCUGAGCGUUGUGCCAUACGUCUGGACACCAGCCAACAUCACUGGGUUCAACACACUAGAACAGGCUUGGGGUCAAUGCCAUUUCGCUCAAAAUGAUGACUUGUCAUGAAGCAGGAAACUUUCCUUAAUAUGUAGAUUUGUAAAUAAUUUAUUUUCUUAGCCUCCUGAAGUAUGACCAUUUUAUUUGCUUGGCAGCACGCAAGGCCAGAAUCCGCUAUGCUACAUACUCAAAGGACAUCAAUUCUCCUCUCUUUUCUCUCCAACAUGCUCAGAUUGUAAUACAUGUUUAAUAUGAUACAUUUUACAGCGGGAAUAUGAAGCAAAAUACUGUGUAAUUAUUUUUCAAUAUUUUAAUUCAAAUCUUUUUCAGAUCAUGUCCUUGUGAUGCCAAACAUUUAUGAAAUAUGGAGAGUACCCUUGUCAAGUCUAAGUUGAAAAUUAGAUGUUUGUUCAUUUUGAUGUAAAUUAAUAUCCUCCAGUCCAGUACCAUUUUCUUCCUAUUUGUCAAUUCAGUGUUAUUGAUCACUAAUGAUUAAUUCAAGUGAAAAUGUAAUCAUUAUUUUCCUGAAUUGCACUUAAUUUGACAUGACAAGGUCUCACCACAUCAUUGUAAACAUUUUAAUGAUUGUAUUACGUUUCAGGGAGGGCUUUUGCCUAAAAUGUGUGUCUGUAAACCAAAGAAAGAGGAUAUACAUAAUUAUGGUUAAUGGUCCUCAUUUCAUUUAAAGUCGGAAUAACAUAUGCAACACGUUCUUCCUUUAAAUUAUGCAUUCUUCAAGUAGGGUCUUCUCUUUCAUUUGACCCUAUUCAAAACACCAUGACAUUUCAUCACAGUUGUCUUUUUUAAAUACCUACCAAACCAUACCAACACGUGAUCUCUUUAGUUCACUACGGAAAGGGUUAGUCCCUACUGCAUGAGAUGACCAUGGCUGAUGUCAUGUGCUGAUAGCGUCCCCGCUUGAGUCCGUGGUGAGAAAAGCAUUAUUACAUCACAUUGUCUGCUGGGAGAGACCAGCGCUACGCAGUAUGACGCUGGAGCAUUUAUGUGUAUUAAAUCUGAGACUAUAAUUGCUUGAAUAAGAGCGAAAAUGAAAAACAACAUGGUCGUGAUGUGUAACAGAGGCCUGCUGUGGCACUGAAACUGUACACAACACAUACCGUGCAAAUGUCUCUGAACAGAAAUAUAGCAGAUAGAACAGAUGCCGUGUUGUCAGUAAUGGUCACGUUCAAUUACCAUGCAUUGUAGGCCUACACUGGAUCAUGCUGUAGGUCAGUAGGAAAAGCCUCAAAGCCAUUAUGUGGUACUAUUUGUUGCUGUAGUACAGUAUGUAGACUAUAUAUAUACUGUAUAUAUACACUACCGUUCAAAAGUUUGGGGUCACUUAGAAAUGUCCUUGUUUUUGAAAGAAAAGCACAUUCUUUGUCCAUUAAAAUAACAUCAAAUUGAUCAGAAAUACAGUGUAGACAUUGUUAAUGUUGUAAAUGACUAUUGUAGCUGGAAACAGCAGAUUUUUUAUGGAAUAUCUAGAUAGGCGUACGUAGGCCCAUUAUCAGCAACCAUCACACCUGUGUUCCAAUGGCACGUUGUGUUAGCUCAUCCAAGUUUAUGAUUUUAAAAGGAUAACUGAUCAUUAGAAAACCCUUUUGCAAUUAUGUUAGCACAGCUGAAAACUGUUGUUCUGAUUAAAGAAGCAAAAAAACUGUCCUUCUUUAGACUAGUUGAGUAUCUGGAGCAUCAGCAUUUGUGGGUUUGAUUACAGGCUCAAAAUGGCCAGAAACAAAGAACUUUCUUCUGAAACUCGUCAGUUUAUUCUGGUUCUGAGAAAUUAAGGCUAUUCCAUGCGAGAAAUUGCCAAAAAACUGAAGAUCUCGGACAACGUUGUGUACUACUCCCUUCACAGAACAGCGCAAACUCUAACCAGAAUAGAAAGAAGAGUGGGAGGCCCCUGUGCACAACUGAGCAAGAGGACAAGUACAUUAGUGUCUAGUUUGAGAAACAGACCCCUCACAGGUCCUCAAUUGGCAGCUUCAUUAAAUAGUACCCGCAAAACACCAGUCUCAACAUCAACAGUGAAGAGGUGACUCCGGGAUGCUGGCCUUAUAGGCAGAGUUCCUCUGUCCAGUGUCUGUGUUCUUUUGCCCAUCUUAAUGUAUACUUUUUUUUGGCCAGUCUAAGAUAUGGCUUUUUAUUUGCAAUUCUGCUUUUCUUUAAAAAACAAGGACCUUUCUAAGUGACCCCAAACUUUUGAACGGUAGUGUACAUAAUGUUGUAAUGCAGUUGAGUUAUGUUUCAGUUGUGUUAUGUUUCAGUUGUGUUAUGUUUCAGUUGUGUUAUGUUUCAGUUGUGUUAUGUUUCAGUUAUGUUAUGUUUCAGUUGUGUUAUGUUUCAGUUGUGUUAUGUUAUAUUUCAGUUGUGUUAUGUUUCAGUUGUGUUAUGUUAUGUUUCAGUUGUGUUAUGUUUCAGUUGUGUUAUGUUAUGUUUCAGUUGUGUUAUGUUUCAGUUGUGUAAUGUUUCAGUGGUGGUUGAGUUCUAAGGUGUUAUUGUACAGCUGCUCUGUUAUUGCGCCACCCUCCCUCCUCUCCUCACUGGCUUCCAGGACAGCGAUAGCGAAAUGUUUAGCUGCAUUCAACAUGAAAGACUGUCUCUCUCUGCUGACAUAUGACUUGAAAAAGCGGCCACCAGUUUGUUUUCAAGAGGGGAGGAAAUUGAACACAACCGCCAUUUGAAGUGUGGAUUGAGAGACUGGUUUCUGAAGUGAAUGAACUGACGACAAAAUUCGGCGAGGAGAGCUUCCCCAUGUCAUGAAAACCAUUGGGCUCUUUAAAGCUUCCUAUGUCACAGUUGCAGAGAACAAAAAUAUAUAAGGGUGUAUUUAAAGGUCUAUGUUGGAGGAAGGUUACACGUCCUCUGCACUUCCAACAAAGGACCAUAACCUUCACCAGUGGAGAGAAAGGUUCCCUGAUGUUAAGCCACAAACUAAAACUGAGAACUCUGGUUGAGCCAGAGACUCUGACCUUCCUUCAGCAAACCUUAAAAUCGCUUUCUCUCUCUCUGACUCGACUCUAAGUGUUGAACAGUCUUGAACAAAGAGCUACGAUGCCCCACACUCUGCUGGCCUGGUCAGACAGAAAGCUCAAGAUUCCAUAUUGAGAAGCCCAAAGACAGGCUAAAUGUCAAUGCUACCCAAGGUUAAAAUGACCAUGCACUGUCAGUGUGUGAGUAUUGUUUUUAAUGCGAUUGAUUGCUAGAAAAAUACAUAUAUUAAAAACUCCCUGUAAAAACA